AUUCUGUUGAGCUUAUUGUGGAAUAUGAGCUGUUGGUCUAAACCUAAUUUGUGCCAAAUUGAAUUCCAAUAUUCCUAGCAAUUCUUGUCAGGAACAUCUGGUUCUUUGGGUAUUCACCAGGAAAAACCAUGAUGGCAUUGGAAAGUGAGGCUGAAGGACAGAGGGUGUUGAAGCAAACAGCACAGAAGACCAAUCUUCCUGCUCAGCCACAGCACAUUCCUGAGCAUGCUGUGGAAAUCACUGCUCAGAGCCUAGAACCCAGUAGGAGCUGUGUUCCUGGCUGCACCAGCUAGCAGGACAUCCAAGGUGCAAGUGGUGAAAGAAAUCAUUGCCUCAGGACCAGGCAUCUCUUUGGGGCCUUGUACGAGAAGAGCCCAAAGCUAGGACAUUUCGAUGGAUACCCCUCAGCCAGAAAACAAAUGCCAAUGGGCCCUGGCUUUUGUAUAUGAAGAUUUAGAAGAACUGAACCCCUCUGAGGUGGACAAUGUAAUCAUAGCAGCCUCAGAGCCCCAGCCAAGACAUUGCUUCUCCUGCUGCUCUUGCUGCUCCUGCUGUUCUGACUGCUCCUGCUGUUCUGGUUUCCCUUGAAUAAUUAUUUUCCGAUUUUCCCUGGCUCUAUUACUUCUUAUAAUUAUCUUGAUAGUAUAUAUACUCUUCCUGAAACCCUCUACAGGCUCAACACCAAAACCAUGACAUCCUUGCAUGUAUCCCCAGACUUGAUACAAAUUAGAGACUGGCAAAGACUGGUUUCUGGAUCCUGCUUCUGCUCUUACCACUUAAAUGAAGUUAGAGCAGCUCCAAUCACUCGAUAUACUGUCAUAUUUUCUGCCUUCUGUAAGGUACAUGAGUUUUCAUCUUUCAGUACAAAUCUCCUCCAUGACCAACUCAGAGAGUAACCAAGGCCCUGACAAGUUUUGCCUGUGGCUUGUGAAGAAUGCCUGUCUUCAGAUCUGCCUGGCCAUCAAGUCUGGUGAAGCCUGAAAUAGCUUCUCUUAUCUGCUACCUUCCCUCAGUCCUCUUCCUAGAGGAGGAAUUUCUCAGGACACCACUUACAAUUGCAUAGAAACAAGAAUGGACCCAAAGAAGAAAUGUGAGAAGACAAUCAAUCCCACACUACUCCUUUAGAGAGGUGGGAGGGCAACUGGUGUGGCACCUUGCUUUUCUGCAAUGUGUUGAUCAGUUUGGCUGAUUUUUCUCCUCUUCCCAUUUUUUCCCUCUGUAAUAAAUAUUAUUUGUUACAUGGAAUGGCUCUGUUUUACAUGAUGGUGGAAGAAUAAUAUGAGAAAUUCUGGUUAGGGAAAAAACAAAUCAAUAAAAAUUUAUUUUAAGACUACUAAAAAAAGCAAGCUGUGCAUGAUAGAUAUUUGUGUUUUCAUAUAAACAAAUAUUUAGACUCUUGACUACUUGUCCAAUUGCUGACACCACAUGUAAUCUAGACAUAUCCAGCAUUUUCCCUGCUUCUCUA
Molecule: long non-coding RNA, 1465 nt
Organism: Dromiciops gliroides (monito del monte)
Lineage: Eukaryota; Metazoa; Chordata; Mammalia; Microbiotheria; Microbiotheriidae
Exons: 4
Source: RefSeq, a predicted model, not a curated record